RNAcentral lists this unclassified non-coding RNA (539 nucleotides) under Hevea brasiliensis (rubber tree). The record is from RNAcentral. Lineage: Eukaryota; Viridiplantae; Streptophyta; Magnoliopsida; Malpighiales; Euphorbiaceae.
AAAAAAACCUUUUGAAGAUAUAAAAGCUGGUAGUCUUGAAAAAGAGAGGCAACAGCUUGAAAUUGAAGAACAAGAGCAACUUGAAGACGAAAUUAAAGAAGAGCAACUUCAAAUUGAAGAUGAUCAAACUACAUAGCCAACAACAGAAAUUGAAGAAUCCAAUUUAAUUGUUGAGCCUUCACUUGUUGAAGAGUGUAUUAUAGAGCAAGAAGCUGAUGAAGCCAAUUGAGUAUGGAGACUACAAUGGAGAUUGGACAAAAUCAAGUUAAUCCUAAUGUAUUGAAAAGUCUUCUCAUUGUCGUUGUCACUGGUUUGAAAGUUUUCAAAGAUGCAAAAGAAAGCAUGAAGUUCUUUGUUUCAAUUUCAUUGCCACCUUCGAAGAAAACAUAGUUGUGUGUUCUUCUCACUCAGUUCUUGAUCCUUCCACACUUCAAAACUCGAGGUCGAGUUUUCUCCACCCAUGGGACAAUGAUUCAAUAUUGGUGUUGGAGUAGGAUUAUACUUAGGAAUUUUAUUUAUUAUAGAAUUAGAAAAUUUAA